RNAcentral lists this ribosomal RNA (497 nucleotides) under uncultured bacterium. RNAcentral's name for it is "partial 16S ribosomal RNA". It matches the Rfam family "Bacterial small subunit ribosomal RNA", at positions 28 to 507 of the family's 1533-position model. The record is from RNAcentral.
GAUGAACGCUGGCGGCGUGCCUAAUACAUGCAAGUCGAGCGAACAGACGAGGAGCUUGCUCCUCUGACGUUAGCGGCGGACGGGUGAGUAACACGUGGAUAACCUACCUAUAAGACUGGGAUAACUUCGGGAAACCGGAGCUAAUACCGGAUAACAUGUUGAACCGCAUGGUUCAACAGUGAAAGACGGUCUUGCUGUCACUUAUAGAUGGAUCCGCGCCGCAUUAGCUAGUUGGUAAGGUAACGGCUUACCAAGGCAACGAUGCGUAGCCGACCUGAGAGGGUGAUCGGCCGCACUGGAACUGAGACACGGUCCAGACUCCUACGGGAGGCAGCAGUAGGGAAUCUUCCGCAAUGGGCGAAAGCCUGACGGAGCAACGCCGCGUGAGUGAAGAAGGUCUUCGGAUCGUAAAACUCUGUUAUUAGGGAAGAACAAAUGUGUAAGUAACUAUGCACGUCUUGACGGUACCUAAUCAGAAAGCCACGGCUAACUACGUG